RNAcentral lists this ribosomal RNA (497 nucleotides) under uncultured bacterium. RNAcentral's name for it is "partial 16S ribosomal RNA". It matches the Rfam family "Bacterial small subunit ribosomal RNA", at positions 28 to 507 of the family's 1533-position model. The record is from RNAcentral.
GAUGAACGCUGGCGGCGUGCCUAAUACAUGCAAGUCGAGCGGAAAGACGAUGAGCUUGUUCCUCUGACGUUAGCGGCGGGCGGGUGAGUAACGCGUGUAUAACCUACUUAUAAGACGGGGAUAACUACGGGAAACCGGAUCAAAUACCGGAGAAUAUACUGAACCGUAUGGUUCAAUGGUAAAAGACGGUUUUGGUGUCUCUAAUAGAUGGUUCCGCGCCGCAUUAGCUAGUUGGUAAGGUAACGGCUUACCAAGGCGACGAUGCGUAGACGACCUGAGAGGGUGAUCGGCCACCCUGGAACUGAGACACGGACCAGGCUCCUACGGGAGGCAGCAGUAGGGAAUCUUACGCAAUGGGCGAAAGCCUGACAGAGCAACGCCGCGUGAGUGAUGAAGGUCUUCGGAUCGUAAAGCUCUGUUAUUGGGUAAGAACCGCUGUGGAAUUAACCAUGGCCGUCUUGACGGUACCUAAUCAAAAAGCACCGGCUAACUACGUG